RNAcentral lists this long non-coding RNA (243 nucleotides) under Mytilus galloprovincialis (Mediterranean mussel). Lineage: Eukaryota; Metazoa; Mollusca; Bivalvia; Mytilida; Mytilidae. The record is from RNAcentral.
AAUAUAAAAUUGAGAAUGGAAAUGGGGAAUGUGCCAAAGAGACAACAAACCGACCAUAGAAAAAAACAACAGCAGAAGGUCACCAACAGGUCUUCAAUGUAGCGAGAAAUUCCCGCACCCGGAGGCGUCCUUCAACUGGCCCCUAAACAAAUAUAUACUAGUGCAGUAAUAAUGAACGCCAUACUAAUUUCCAAAUUGUACACAAGAAACUAAAAUUAAAAUAAUACAAGACUAACAAAGGCC